AUAUAUAUAUAUAUAUAUAUAUAUAUAUAUAUAUAUAUAUAUAUAUAAACCUAUCCCAAAGUUUUGCUAGUGUAUCUGUGACUUCUAAAUGAAAAUGCACACAGGUUAUACAGACACAUAAGUAUGUACUUAUAGUUAGAGAGAUCCAGCGUCACACAUUUCCAUAUAGAAUAUGAAUUUUAAGUAUGGAACAUUCUCAGAUGACUAUACAGCAGCAGACAUAAUGGCAGUCCUUUGAUCAGAUGUGUUUUACCUUACCGCACACCGUUCUGUGAACUCAUUCCAUAUGUGAUACAUUUUAUAUGCAAAUAACUGCAUUAUGUUAGAUUGCCUGAGGUUCAAUGCAAAAACACACAUUAGUCUAAUGAGGCAUCAUGGUUAUGCAGCAGGUGGUAGUAGUACAGACACUGGAGCUCAGAUCAAAGAAGGACUGGGGAGGACGGACAACUGGAGAUGGAGAGAGAGAGAGAUUUCUUUGCUGGAAUGGUGAAGGCAACAUCCAAGGGUCAGGACUGAGGGCUAAUGAGUACAAAGCUGUCAAGUCAGGCACACUGUGGCCCAAGAGAAACCUUCAAAACAGGUGCAGUGCUUCCUGUAUUCUACCUUCUUCCCCACCUGCAUUGUCUGUAAUAAAGAGCUGAUGUGAGUGAGUGAGAAUCUCCCAGGGCUGGUCUUGGCACGCUACACAUGCAAACAAUAAAUGGCCAAAAAGGAACUAAGACAACAAUUUAGCUUCUAGUUGUGGUGGCUUACAAAGUGGUCUUGUGUAAAAAUUGUGUUCAAAUUGUAUUAAAUCCUUUAAAAAGGAUUUUAAAAUUAUGAGGUCCUGACAAACAGUCCAAAUAAAUUGAUCUUAAAUAAAUAAAAUAAAUAAAUAAUGUUCUUAGAGAUUAAAAAGUUCUGAAAUAAUGUAGAAAUAAAUUCUAACAAUUAUAUAAAUUAUGUAUAACAAGUAAACUUAGAAAAAAAAAAUAUUUCUUAAAGACACUGGGUUUUUAUUGAUUUUUUUCGGAAUGAAAGCAAGAAUAAAGCUGGCAAUUUAAUUAAUUAUUGAGGGGGAAAAACACACAAACUAAGUAGGAUCGUGAGAAAGAGAGGCCAGCAUUGAUUUUCCAAGUCCCUCAGUUUCCCUCUGGCGUGUAUCACACUCUCUGAGCUUUAGGCACAAACACACACCCAGAACCCAAAGGAUAAAGGCGGGGAAGAGGUUCUCAGUCAGGCAUGGAACAAACUGCCAUUAUGUGGAAACGGGGAAAAGGAAAAAGAGAAAUGAGUGCUAGAAAGUGAAUUAGAACACCUGCUGGGCCCUGGUUUUCAAUUACUCAUUAUAAGAUUUCAAUUUAAUAAGGUUAAUUAGCCACUGUAAUUAGUUAAAACGCUUUUAGUGACAAGUCACAGCUGCUAACUUGUGAAAACAUCCACAUUCAAUGUGCUUUUCUAUUUAGCUGUUCUCACUGCUGCUAAGAACUUUUUCUCUCUCUCUCAGUAUCUCCUAGUAAUUC
Cyprinus carpio carpio is the source of this 1502-nucleotide long non-coding RNA. Lineage: Eukaryota; Metazoa; Chordata; Actinopteri; Cypriniformes; Cyprinidae. The record is from Ensembl.